UGAUCCUGGCUCAGAACGAACGCUGGCGGCAGGCCUAACACAUGCAAGUCGAGCGAGAUCUUCGGAUCUAGCGGCGGACGGGUGAGUAACGCGUGGGAAUAUGCCCUUCUCUACGGAAUAGCCUCGGGAAACUGGGAGUAAUACCGUAUACGCCCUUAGGGGGAAAGAUUUAUCGGAGAAGGAUUAGCCCGCGUUGGAUUAGGUAGUUGGUGGGGUAAUGGCCUACCAAGCCUACGAUCCAUAGCUGGUUUGAGAGGAUGAUCAGCCACACUGGGACUGAGACACGGCCCAGACUCCUACGGGAGGCAGCAGUGGGGAAUCUUAGACAAUGGGGGCAACCCUGAUCUAGCCAUGCCGCGUGAGUGAUGAAGGCCUUAGGGUUGUAAAGCUCUUUCAGCUGGGAAGAUAAUGACGGUACCAGCAGAAGAAGCCCCGGCUAACUCCGUGCCAGCAGCCGCGGUAAUACGGAGGGGGCUAGCGUUGUUCGGAAUUACUGGGCGUAAAGCGCACGUAGGCGGACCGGAAAGUUGGAGG
This 534-nucleotide ribosomal RNA is filed under the name uncultured bacterium. RNAcentral's name for it is "bacterial SSU rRNA". It matches the Rfam family "Bacterial small subunit ribosomal RNA", at positions 14 to 594 of the family's 1533-position model. The record is from RNAcentral.